RNAcentral lists this ribosomal RNA (303 nucleotides) under uncultured bacterium. Its description in RNAcentral is "partial 16S ribosomal RNA". It matches the Rfam family "Bacterial small subunit ribosomal RNA", at positions 507 to 807 of the family's 1533-position model. The record is from RNAcentral.
AGCAGUAGCCGCGGUAAUACGAGGGGUGCAAGCGUUAUUCGGAUUGAUUGGGUGUAAAGGGUGUGCAGACGGCUUAUUAAGUCACUUGUUAAAUUCUUCGGCCUAACUGAAGGUCUGCAAGUGAUACUGAUGAGCUAGAGGGUGGAAGAGAGAAGUGGAAUUCUCGGAGUAGCGGUAAAAUGCGUAGAUCUCGAGAGGAACACCAAUGGCGAAGGCAGCUUCUUGGUCCAUUCCUGACGUUCAUACACGAAAGCGUGGGGAGCAAAUGGGAUUAGAUACCCCAGUAGUCCCUGUCUCUUAUAC